CUCCUGGGCGGANUGCCUGAAGCAGCAACGCCGCGUGAGGGAUGAAGGCCUUCGGGUUGUAAACCUCUUUUCUCAGGGACGAUAAUGACGGUACCUGAGGAAUAAGCCACGGCUAACUACGUGCCAGCAGCCGCGGUAAUACGUAGGUGGCAAGCGUUGUCCGGAUUUACUGGGCGUAAAGAGCGCGCAGGCGGCCGAGUAAGUCGAAUGCGAAAGCCCCCGGCUCAACUGGGGAAGGUCAUUCGAUACUUGUUCGGCUUGAAGAUAGGAGAGGGAAGCGGAAUUUCAGGUGUAGUGGUGAAAUGCGUAGAUAUCUGAAGGAACACCAGUGGCGAAGGCGGCUUUCUGGCCUAUUCUUGACGCUUGAGGCGCGAAAGC
Molecule: ribosomal RNA, 378 nt
Filed under: uncultured bacterium
Lineage: Bacteria
Description: bacterial SSU rRNA
Rfam family: Bacterial small subunit ribosomal RNA
Source: RNAcentral